Molecule: ribosomal RNA, 499 nt
Filed under: uncultured bacterium
Lineage: Bacteria
Description: partial 16S ribosomal RNA
Rfam family: Bacterial small subunit ribosomal RNA
Source: RNAcentral
GACGAACGCUGGCGGCGUGCUUAACACAUGCAUGUCGAACGGGCCCGCCCCUGUUUUUGGGGGUGGGUUGAGUGGCGAACGGGUGAGUAUCACGUGAGUAACCUGCCCCCUGCUCCUGGAUAACUGCUUGAAAGGGCGGCUAAUACGGGGUGUGCCGGCUGGUCCGCAUGGGCCUGGUCGGGAUAGUUUCAUCUUCGGGGGUUUCGGUGGGGGAUGGGCUCGCGGCCUAUCAGCUUGUUGGUGGGGUGAUGGCCCACCAAGGCGGUGACGGGUAGCCGGCCUGAGAGGGUGGGCGGCCACACUGGGACUGAGACACGGCCCAGACUCCUGCGGGAGGCAGCAGUGGGGGGUAUUGCACAAUGGGCGGAAGCCUGAUGCAGCGACGUCGCGUGAGGGAUGGAGGCCUUCGGGUUGUGAACCUCUUUCUCCGGUGGUGAAGGCCCUGUCCGUUGCGGCGGGGUUGACGGUAGCCGGGUAUGAAGCGCCGGCUAACUACGUG